RNAcentral lists this ribosomal RNA (420 nucleotides) under Fusobacteriota bacterium. Its description in RNAcentral is "Fusobacteria bacterium partial 16S ribosomal RNA". It matches the Rfam family "Bacterial small subunit ribosomal RNA", at positions 355 to 776 of the family's 1533-position model. Lineage: Bacteria; Fusobacteriati; Fusobacteriota. The record is from RNAcentral.
UGGGGGAUAUUGCACAAUGGGCGAAAGCCUGAUGCAGCGACGCCGCGUGGGGGAUGAAGGCCUUCGGGUUGUAAACUUCUUUUGCUCUGAACAAGGCAUGCCUUUGGGGUGUGUUGAGUGUAGGGGUUGAUUAGCGCCGGCUAACUACGUGCCAGCAGCCGCGGUAAUACGUAGGGCGCGAGCGUUGUCCGGAAUUAUUGGGCGUAAAGGGCUUGUAGGUGGCUGGUUGCGUCUGUCGUGAAAGCUCAUGGCUUAACUGUGGGUUUGCGGUGGGUACGGGCUGGCUUGAGUGCAGUAGGGGAGGCUGGAAUGCCUGGUGUAGCGGUGGAAUGCGGAGAUAUCAGGAGGAGUACCGGUGGCGAAGGCGGGUCUCUGGGCUGUUACUGACGCUGAGGAGCGAAAGCGUGGGGAGCGAACAGG